RNAcentral lists this ribosomal RNA (460 nucleotides) under uncultured bacterium. Its description in RNAcentral is "partial 16S ribosomal RNA". It matches the Rfam family "Bacterial small subunit ribosomal RNA", at positions 338 to 795 of the family's 1533-position model. The record is from RNAcentral.
UCUACGGGUGGCAGCAGUGAGGAAUAUUGGUCAAUGGGCUUACGCCUGAACCAGCCAAGUCGCGUGAGGGAAGACUGCCCUAUGGGUUGUAAACCUCUUUUGUCAGGGAGCAACGCCGGCUACGUGUAGCCGGACUGAGAGUACCUGAAGAAAAGGCAUCGGCUAACUCCGUGCCAGCAGACGCGGUAAUACGGAGGAUGCGAGCGGUAUCCUGUUGUAUUGGGUUUAAAGGGUGCGUAGGCGGAAUGCCAAGUCAGCGGUAAAAUCGCGGGGCUCAACCUUGCUUCGCCGUUGAAACUGGCUGUCUUGAGUGGGCGAGAAGUAUGCGGAAUGCGUGGUGUAGCGGUGAAAUGCAUAGAUAUCACGCAGAACUCCGAUUGCGAAGGCAGCAUACCGGCGCCCAACUGACGCUGAAGCACGAAAGCGUGGGUAUCGAACAGGAUUAGAUACCCGGGUAGUC